This 348-nucleotide ribosomal RNA is filed under the name uncultured bacterium. Its description in RNAcentral is "bacterial SSU rRNA". It matches the Rfam family "Bacterial small subunit ribosomal RNA", at positions 920 to 1269 of the family's 1533-position model. The record is from RNAcentral.
GACCCCGCACAAGCGGCGGAGCAUGCGGCUUAAUUCGAUGAUACCCGUAGAACCUUACCUGGACUUGACAUAUAGGGUCAAGCUAUAGAGAUAUAGUGUGCAUUAGCGCCCUAUACAGGUGGUGCAUGGCUGUCGUCAGCUCGUGUCGUGAGGUGUCAGUUAAGUCCUAUAACGAGCGCAACCCCUAUCGUUAGUUGCCAGCGGGUAAUGCCGGGAACUCUAGCGAAACUGCCGGUGCAAACCGUGAGGAAGGUGGGGAUGACGUCAAAUCAUCACGGCCCUUACGUCCUGGCUACACACGUGCUACAAUGGUCGGUACAGAGAGCAGCCACUACGCGAGUAGGAGCG